UUUCUUUUUCUACAUCGUAUUCACAAAACAGAUGUUUCUCUUUUCUAAAUUUUUUUUAAUGCUUGCUUGGUUAUUCUGGAGUUGUGGCACCUACCGAUUCUCAUUUUUAUUCUCCCCAACUUAUCUUUUACUCACCCCAAGUGAAUGCUCUUGACUUUUUACGGCAAAAGAACAAUUAUCAAAAAAUUUCAGGGUUUCAAGAAAAAAGAUUUUGACAUCUCGCCUUAUUUCAAGCAGAGAUUCAACUGUUUAAGCUCA
Molecule: long non-coding RNA, 258 nt
Filed under: Lathyrus oleraceus (garden pea)
Lineage: Eukaryota; Viridiplantae; Streptophyta; Magnoliopsida; Fabales; Fabaceae
Description: Pisum sativum (pea) long non-coding RNA (PSAT_LNC002998)
Source: RNAcentral